CCUACGGGUGGCAGCAGUGGGGAAUAUUGCGCAAUGGGCGAAAGCCUGAUGCAGCGACGCCGCGUGAGUGAUGAAGGUCUUCGGAUCGUAAACCUCUGUCAGCAGGGAAGAACAGUCACUGUACUAAACAGCUGUGAACUGACGGUACCUGCAAAGGAAGCAACGGCUAACUCCGUGCCAGCAGCCGCGGUAAUACGGAGGGUGCGAGCGUUAAUCGGAAUUACUGGGCGUAAAGCGGUCGUAGGCGGUAUGGCAAGUCAGGGGUGAAAGCCCCGGGCUCAACGUCGGAACUGCCUUUGAAACUGGCAAACUGGAGUGAGUGAGAGGUAAGUGGAAUUCCAGGUGUAGCGGUGAAAUGCGUAGAUAUCUGGAGGAACAUCAGAGGCGAAGGCGGCUUUCUGGCACAUAACUGACGCUGAGGAGCGAAAGCGUGGGUAGCAAACAGGAUUAGAUACCCGGGUAGUC
This 465-nucleotide ribosomal RNA is filed under the name uncultured bacterium. Its description in RNAcentral is "partial 16S ribosomal RNA". It matches the Rfam family "Bacterial small subunit ribosomal RNA", at positions 338 to 795 of the family's 1533-position model. The record is from RNAcentral.